RNAcentral lists this transfer RNA (75 nucleotides) under Myxococcota bacterium. Its description in RNAcentral is "tRNA-Val". It matches the Rfam family "tRNA". From Rfam's summary of the family: Transfer RNA (tRNA) molecules are approximately 80 nucleotides in length. Their secondary structure includes four short double-helical elements and three loops (D, anti-codon, and T loops). Lineage: Bacteria; Pseudomonadati; Myxococcota. The record is from RNAcentral.
AGGCGCGUAGCUCAGUGGGAGAGCGCUACCUUGACACGGUAGAUGUCGGCGGUUCAAUCCCGCCCGUGCCUACCA